CUGCUGCCUCCCGUAGGAGUCUGGGCCGUAUCUCAGUCCCAAUGUGGCCGUUCAACCUCUCAGUCCGGCUACUGAUCGUCGACUUGGUAAGCCGUUACCUUACCAACUAUCUAAUCAGACGCAAGGCCAUCUUUUAGCGAAUUGCUCCUUUCCCACUAUUAUCAUGUGAUAACUAUGGCAUAUGCGGUAUUAGCAAUGAUUUCUCAUUGUUAUUCCCCUCUAAAAGGCAGGUUCCUUACGCGUUACUCA
This 249-nucleotide ribosomal RNA is filed under the name uncultured bacterium. Its description in RNAcentral is "partial 16S ribosomal RNA". The record is from RNAcentral.